UAGGCAUUUUAGGGGUCUUUUCAAAGUUUUCUGCUGUGAAACAUUUCAAGAUUUAUUGAUUUUUUUUUUUUCACUUUCCCCAUCACACUCACACGCAUCCCCACAUUUUUUAUUUGCCAUAAUGAACCGUCCAGCCCCUGUCGAGAACUCCUGUGAGAACAUGCGUUUUCUUAUAACUCACAACCCAACCAAUGCUACUCUCAACAAGUUCCCAGAGGAACUUAAGAAGUAUGGAGUGAUGACUUUGGUUCGAGUUUGUGAUGCUACAUAUGAUAAAGCUCCAGUUGAAAAAGAAGGAAUCCAUGUUCUUGAUUGGCCAUUUGAUGAUGGAGCUCCACCCCCUAAUCAGAUAGCAGAUGAUUGGUUAAACCUGUUACAAACCAAAUUUCAUGAAGAGCCAGGCUGCUAUGUUGCAGUGCCUUCUGCUGUGGGACUGGGAAGGGCAUCUGUGCUGGUUGCACUUAGCUUUGAUUGAAUGUGGAAUGAAGUACGAAGACGCAGUUCAGUUUAUAAGACAAAAGGGGAGCAUUCAAUUCCAAACAGCUGCUUUACUUGGGAGAAAUACUGACCUAAGAUGCGAUUACGCUUCAGAGAUACCAAUGGGCAUUGCUGUGUUCAAUAG
Chlorocebus sabaeus (green monkey) is the source of this 622-nucleotide non-coding RNA. Lineage: Eukaryota; Metazoa; Chordata; Mammalia; Primates; Cercopithecidae. The record is from RefSeq and is a predicted model, not a curated record.